CGAACGAAGCACUUUAACCUGAUUCUUCGGAUGAGGGUUUUUGUGACUGAGUGGCGGACGGGUGAGUAACGCGUGGGUAACCUGCCUCAUACAGGGGGAUAACAGUUAGAAAUGACUGCUAAUACCGCAUAAGACCACAGAGCCGCAUGGCUCGGUGGGAAAAACUCCGGUGGUAUGAGAUGGACCCGCGUCUGAUUAGGUAGUUGGUGGGGUAACGGCCUACCAAGCCAACGAUCAGUAGCCGACCUGAGAGGGUGACCGGCCACAUUGGGACUGAGACACGGCCCAAACUCCUACGGGAGGCAGCAGUGGGGAAUAUUGCACAAUGGGGGAAACCCUGAUGCAGCGACGCCGCGUGAGCGAAGAAGUAUUUCGGUAUGUAAAGCUCUAUCAGCAGGGAAGAAAAUGACGGUACCUGACUAAGAAGCACCGGCUAAAUACGUGCCAGCAGCCGCGGUAAUACGUAUGGUGCAAGCGUUAUCCGGAUUUACUGGGUGUAAAGGGAGCGUAGACGGCUGUGUAAGUCUGAAGUGAAAGCCCGGGGCUCAACCCCGGGACUGCUUUGGAAACUAUGCAGCUAGAGUGUCGGAGAGGUAAGUGGAAUUCCCAGUGUAGCGGUGAAAUGCGUAGAUAUUGGGAGGAACACCAGUGGCGAAGGCGGCUUACUGGACGAUGACUGACGUUG
RNAcentral lists this ribosomal RNA (685 nucleotides) under uncultured Lachnospiraceae bacterium. RNAcentral describes it as "bacterial SSU rRNA". It matches the Rfam family "Bacterial small subunit ribosomal RNA", at positions 63 to 748 of the family's 1533-position model. The record is from RNAcentral. Lineage: Bacteria; Bacillati; Bacillota; Clostridia; Lachnospirales; Lachnospiraceae.